Molecule: long non-coding RNA, 577 nt
Organism: Xiphophorus hellerii (green swordtail)
Lineage: Eukaryota; Metazoa; Chordata; Actinopteri; Cyprinodontiformes; Poeciliidae
Exons: 3
Source: RefSeq, a predicted model, not a curated record
AAUGUAAAGCAGUGCAUAAAUGUUCCAAAAGAGGGUGCUGUUGUUUUCUGUAAUUGCUGGCACUACCACAAUUCCGACAUGUUUGUCCUGCCGGGGACACCGUAGCGCAGGGGAUUUCUGCGCGCGAACUGCCGUACUCUUUACAGUGUGUUUACUGCCUGUAAGGUAAGCAGCAGCUCUGCUAGCUCGGUGUAACAUAUACAGUAUAAUAAUAUACCGAUCCAUUUCUGUUUGUUCAGUUUGCCUGUUAAGUAUAAAUUACAUUUUGUUUUGGUGAUGUUUGAUUAUUUUAUAAAAAAGAAAAAAACGAUUGAAUGCUGACAGUGUGUUUACUGCCUGUAAGGUGAACAAAAUAAACGCGCCAAAGUCUCCCCACAACGACGAGCCGCCUGUCUGAUUCCUCUCCUGCACGGAACACAUCCCACCCUCACACAAACACAACGCAGAGCCCAUCGGGUGUCUUCCAGCAGCUGCAGGGUUAAAGAGGGAAAGCCUGGGUUACAUCUUGGUGCCGUGACCCGGAUUGUGGUUCUUGGAGACCAACAGGUUGGAGGGAUUCUUGACCAGAGGAGUCAGA